Molecule: ribosomal RNA, 498 nt
Filed under: uncultured bacterium
Lineage: Bacteria
Description: bacterial SSU rRNA
Rfam family: Bacterial small subunit ribosomal RNA
Source: RNAcentral
AAAUGAAUAGACGGGGACCCGCACAAGCGGUGGAGCAUGUGGUUUAAUUCGAAGAUACGCGAAGAACCUUACCUGGACUUGACAUUGAUAGGAUCCUGUAGAGAUAUGGGAGUGCUAGCUUGCUAGAGCUUGAAAACAGGUGCUGCACGGCUGUCGUCAGCUCGUGUCGUGAGAUGUUGGGUUAAGUCCCGCAACGAGCGCAACCCACGUCGUUAGUUGCUAACAGUUAGGCUGAGAACUCUAACGAGACUGCCUUCGUAAGGAGGAGGAAGGUGUGGACGACGUCAAGUCAUCAUGGCCCUUACGUCCAGGGCUACACACGUGCUACAAUGGGAUAUACAAAGAGCAGCGAUACAGUGAUGUGGAGCAAAUCUCAUAAAAUAUCUCCCAGUUCGGAUUGUAGUCUGCAACUCGACUACAUGAAGUUGGAAUCGCUAGUAAUCGUAGAUCAGCAUUGCUACGGUGAAUACGUUCCCGGGUCUUGUACACACCGCCCGU